UACAGAGGUCCCAAGCGUUGUUCGGAUUUACUGGGCGUAAAGCGUGCGCAGGCGGCUAUGCAAGACAGAUGUGAAAUCCCCGGGCUCAACCUGGGAACUGCAUUUGUGACUGCAUAGCUAGAGUACGGUAGAGGGGGAUGGAAUUCCGCGUGUAGCAGUGAAAUGCGUAGAUAUGCGGAGGAACACCGAUGGCGAAGGCAAUCCCCUGGACCUGUACUGACGCUCAUGCACGAAAGCGUGGGGAGCAAACAGG
RNAcentral lists this ribosomal RNA (253 nucleotides) under uncultured bacterium. RNAcentral describes it as "partial 16S ribosomal RNA". It matches the Rfam family "Bacterial small subunit ribosomal RNA", at positions 524 to 776 of the family's 1533-position model. The record is from RNAcentral.